GAUGAACGCUGGCGGCGUGCCUAAUACAUGCAAGUCGAGCGAACAGACGAGGAGCUUGCUCCUCUGACGUUAGCGGCGGACGGGUGAGUAACACGUGGAUAACCUACCUAUAAGACUGGGAUAACUUCGGGAAACCGGAGCUAAUACCGGAUAAUAUAUUGAACCGCAUGGUUCAAUAGUGAAAGACGGUUUUGCUGUCACUUAUAGAUGGAUCCGCGCCGCAUUAGCUAGUUGGUAAGGUAACGGCUUACCAAGGCGACGAUGCGUAGCCGACCUGAGAGGGGGGUCCGCCAACCCGGAAAUGAGACACCGUCCAGGCCCCCCCGGGGGGCCGCAGUAGGGAAUUUUCCGCAAGGGUGGAAAGCCUGAACGGGCAACGGCGCGUGGGGUAUGAAGGUUCUCGGAUCGUAAAACUCUGUUAUUAGGGAAAAACAAAUGGGUAAGUAACUUGGCACGUCUUGACGGGACCCUAACAGAAAGCCCCCGCUAACUACG
Molecule: ribosomal RNA, 495 nt
Filed under: uncultured bacterium
Lineage: Bacteria
Description: partial 16S ribosomal RNA
Rfam family: Bacterial small subunit ribosomal RNA
Source: RNAcentral